GCAAGCAGGCAGAUCUUCCUCUUUCUUCUACCAAAUUGAAAUCCAAUGGAUCCGGCGAAAUUGAGCGAGCUCAAGAAGUUCAUCCAGCUCUGCAGAUCUAAUCCUCUGUUCUCAAUGAUCCUUCCCUCUCCUUCUUCCGAGACUAUCUCGAAAGUCUUGGAGCAAAGCUUCCAUCCUCAUCUGACAGCCACGGAGCC
Molecule: long non-coding RNA, 197 nt
Organism: Hibiscus syriacus
Lineage: Eukaryota; Viridiplantae; Streptophyta; Magnoliopsida; Malvales; Malvaceae
Exons: 3
Source: RefSeq, a predicted model, not a curated record